GAUGAACGCUGGCGGCGUGCCUAAUACAUGCAAGUCGAGCGAACAGACGAGGAGCUUGCUCCUCUGACGUUAGCGGCGGACGGGUGAGUAACACGUGGAUAACCUACCUAUAAGACUGGGAUAACUUCGGGAAACCGGAGCUAAUACCGGAUAAUAUAUUGAACCGCAUGGUUCAAUAGUGAAAGACGGUUUUGCUGUCACUUAUAGAUGGAUCCGCGCCGCAUUAGCUAGUUGGUAAGGUAACGGCUUACCAAGGCGACGAUGCGUAGCCGACCUGAGAGGGUGGUAGGCCACACUAGAGCUGGGCCAGGCUCCAGACGCCUACGGGAGGCAGCAGUAGGGAAUCUUCCGCAGUGGGCGAAAGCCUGACGGAGCAACGCCGCGUGAGUGAUGAAGGUCUUCGGAUCGUAAAACUCUGUUAUUAGGGAAGAACAAAUGUGGAAGUAACUAUGCACGUCUUGACGGUACCUAAUCAGAAAGCCACGGCUAACUACGUG
RNAcentral lists this ribosomal RNA (497 nucleotides) under uncultured bacterium. RNAcentral describes it as "partial 16S ribosomal RNA". It matches the Rfam family "Bacterial small subunit ribosomal RNA", at positions 28 to 507 of the family's 1533-position model. The record is from RNAcentral.